This 29-nucleotide small RNA is filed under the name Bombyx mori (domestic silkworm). RNAcentral describes it as "piRNA piR-bmo-1851478". The record is from RNAcentral. Lineage: Eukaryota; Metazoa; Arthropoda; Insecta; Lepidoptera; Bombycidae.
UGUGUAUUUUUCUUUGAACUCUGGGUUGC